This is a long non-coding RNA of Frieseomelitta varia, 1414 nucleotides long. RefSeq lists it as uncharacterized. Lineage: Eukaryota; Metazoa; Arthropoda; Insecta; Hymenoptera; Apidae. The transcript has 3 exons. The record is from RefSeq and is a predicted model, not a curated record.
AAUCUUCGACUUACUCUGUUGAUCGCCGACGACACGAAAGGUCGCGUCACUAUAACACCACGACGCUGCUCUCUCACCACUCGACUGCCAUCCAAAUACGCUCCGACACUGGUGGAAAACCACGGGGAUACGUGCGAUCGUUCUCCUCUCACAAUCAGCACAGUUCCAUCGUCGUCGAACUUGUUCGUCGUCUUCACACGCGCUCGCGAGACUCGAGCCUCCCGCGGCGAGUCGAGUCGUGUCGUUCACUCGGCUCCGAAACUGAACGAUGUCGUACGAAAGAUGUGUCACGAUAAAAAAGAAAAAAAAAAAAAAAAGAAAAAACAAAAGGAAACGUUGCCGCGAGAAAUCUGUUAAUCUCGAUUGCACGUGGAUCGGGAAAAGUCCGAUCGACUUUGAUCGACGAUAAGAAAAAUCCCAAAUAGACGAGGAGAGACGGGUCACUGAUUGACGAGAAACAGGAGAAAAAAAAACGACUUUGUACUUUGUCGUUCGUAUAUAUUGUCGAUCGACGAUAUCUCCCGAUUAACGAUCGUCCCUACGACGACACUAACGACGGUCGACGUCGAGACGUAUGUGCGUAGGUAGAGACGCGAUGGCAAUAAUUGUCCUACGUAUGUUGGACGUAUGUUGUUCGUCGAAGAAGAAGAAACGCGAAGAGAGUCGCGCACGGGGACGCGCACGUUUCGUCGUGUUUCUCGCGAGGCAAAUGUAACAACGUCGCGAUGCGAGGCUGGUGUGUGUUGUCAGCUCGCGUCAGGCAGCGCGGUUCGAAUGGAGACGCGGCACGUGUGCCGCUGCCUGGUGCUCGUCGACGAUCGGCCGCCGCCACCACCACCAGCUGAUCAUCCGGGAGUGUGGACUGCUCUCUGCCACUGACUCUCUGUGUGGUGUGGCCUGUGCUGACUGACUAACUGCACGGGCGAACAGUUUCUCCGGCAGAGGCUGCCAGAGCGGCAGGAACGGCGGUUCGAAUUGCGCCUGCUGGCCCGUGCCUGAGAAAACUCGUGGGGGCGCGGGAGGGGCGGGUUGGGGGUGGGAGGAACACGACGGCGGGGAAACGACGACGACGACGACGACGAUGACGACGACGAUGACGACGACGACGGCGAGGGCGAGUUUUCACCGGCGGGCUUCUUGACACGUUCCGCUGAAAGAUGCGUGUGUACGAGGCCGUGCAUCAUAAGGAACGCAAACGCGAGAAAGAGAGGCAUGGGCGCUUAAAUAAUUCAUUAGUCGACGAGCAGAGAUUUGCAUUGUGGCGAGGAGGUACACUAGCGGAUCGGUGGACGAAGGAGCAAGCAAAUGAAUUAAGCACUCGAGCUCGCUCCGGGGAGAGAAAGAAUGUCGGAUGGCAGACGAAACGUGUACAAAAGAUACGUACUUUACGCUGUACAAAGGUAUUUCAUAUAUU